This is a non-coding RNA of Suillus cothurnatus, 93 nucleotides long. NCBI's taxonomy places the organism in Eukaryota, Fungi, Basidiomycota, Agaricomycetes, Boletales, Suillaceae. The record is from the annotation of a GenBank genome assembly.
GCCCGCCUAGCUCAAUCGGAUAGAGCGUCAGACUCUUACUACUGCUAGGCGAUUGUGAUCUGAAGGCUGCGAGUUCGACCCUCGCGGUGGGCU